RNAcentral lists this small nucleolar RNA (91 nucleotides) under Fusobacterium sp. CM21. Lineage: Bacteria; Fusobacteriati; Fusobacteriota; Fusobacteriia; Fusobacteriales; Fusobacteriaceae. The record is from RNAcentral.
AAUAAUGAUGCUCCUAAGGCAGAAAAAAUAUUAGCAAUAAACCCAGAACAUGUAUUAUUUAAUAAGUUGAGAAGUUCAGUUAAUACAGAAG